This 397-nucleotide ribosomal RNA is filed under the name uncultured bacterium. RNAcentral's name for it is "partial 16S ribosomal RNA". It matches the Rfam family "Bacterial small subunit ribosomal RNA", at positions 523 to 918 of the family's 1533-position model. The record is from RNAcentral.
AUACGUAGGGGGCGAGCGUUGUCCGGAAUGACUGGGCGUAAAGGGCGUGUAGGCGGCUGUCUAAGUCUGGAGUGAAAGUCCUGCUUUCAAGGUGGGAAUUGCUUUGGAGACUGGAUGGCUUGAGUGCGGAAGAGGUAAGUGGAAUUCCCAGUGUAGCGGUGAAAUGCGUAGAGAUUGGGAGGAACACCAGUGGCGAAGGCGACUUACUGGGCCGUAACUGACGCUGAGGCGCGAAAGCGUGGGGAGCGAACAGGAUUAGAUACCCUGGUAGUCCACGCGGUAAACGUUGAAUGCCAGGUGUUGCGGGUAUCGACCCCAGCAGUGCCGGAGUAAACACAAUAAGCAUUCCGCCUGGGGAGUACGGCCGCAAGGUUGAAACUCAAAUGAAUUGACGGGG